GUUAUCCUUCGGGGUCAGGUGAAAAUCCUAACCGGCGGUGGUGAAUAAUGAUUGUAUUCUAAGCCCGCGACCCGCAUGUCUUUACUGAGAUGCGGUUGAUCAAGUUUGAAUCUUGAGCCGACAGUUAAAGUCUGGAUGGGAGAAGGAUCAG
Molecule: non-coding RNA, 151 nt
Filed under: Priestia endophytica
Lineage: Bacteria; Bacillati; Bacillota; Bacilli; Caryophanales; Bacillaceae
Description: Bacillus endophyticus FMN sequence
Rfam family: FMN riboswitch aptamer (RFN element)
About the family: The RFN element is a highly conserved domain that is found frequently in the 5'-untranslated regions of prokaryotic mRNAs that encode for flavin mononucleotide (FMN) biosynthesis and transport proteins.
Source: Rfam by way of RNAcentral